UACGUAGGGGGCUAGCGUUGUCCGGAAUCAUUGGGCGUAAAGAGCGUGUAGGCGGUCCGGUAAGUCCGCUGUGAAAGUCGGGGGCUCAACCCUCGAAUGCCGGUGGAUACUGUCGGACUAGAGUACGGAAGAGGCGAGUGGAAUUCCUGGUGUAGCGGUGAAAUGCGCAGAUAUCAGGAGGAACACCAAUUGCGAAGGCAGCUCGCUGGGACGUUACUGACGCUGAGACGCGAAAGCGUGGGGGAGCAAACAGG
This 254-nucleotide ribosomal RNA is filed under the name uncultured bacterium. RNAcentral's name for it is "partial 16S ribosomal RNA". It matches the Rfam family "Bacterial small subunit ribosomal RNA", at positions 524 to 776 of the family's 1533-position model. The record is from RNAcentral.